GAUAUGGCUCAGGACGAACGCUGGCGGCGUGCUUAACACAUGCAAGUCGAACGAGAGGACAAGAGAAGCUUGCUUCUUUUGGAAUCGAGUGGCAAACGGGUGAGUAACACGUAAACAACCUGCCUUCAGGAUGGGGACAACAGACGGAAACGACUGCUAAUACCGAAUACGCUUGGGAGACCGCAUGAUCUACCAAGGAAAGGGUGGCCUCUACCUGUAAGCUAUCGCCUGAAGAGGGGUUUGCGU
RNAcentral lists this ribosomal RNA (246 nucleotides) under uncultured bacterium. RNAcentral's name for it is "partial 16S ribosomal RNA". It matches the Rfam family "Bacterial small subunit ribosomal RNA", at positions 15 to 236 of the family's 1533-position model. The record is from RNAcentral.